GAUGAACGCUGGCGGCGUGCCUAAUACAUGCAAGUCGAGCGAACAGACGAGGAGCUUGCUCCUCUGACGUUAGCGGCGGACGGGUGAGUAACACGUGGAUAACCUACCUAUAAGACUGGGAUAACUUCGGGAAACCGGAGCUAAUACCGGAUAAUAUAUUGAACCGCAUGGUUCAAUAGUGAAAGACGGUUUUGCUAUCACUUAUAGAUGGAUCCGCGCCGCAUUAGCUAGUUGGUAAGGUAACGGCUUACCAAGGCAACGAUGCGUAGCCGACCUGAGAGGGUGAUCGGCCACACUGAAACUGAGACACGGUCCAGACUCCUACGGGAGGCAGCAGUAGGGAAUCUGCCGCAAUGGGCGAAAGCCUGACGGAGCAACGCCGCGUGAGUGAUGAAGGUCUUCGGAUCGUAAAACUCUGUUAUUAGGGAAGAACAAAUGUGUAAGUAACUAUGCACGUCUUGACGGUACCUAAUCAGAAAGCCACGGCUAACUACGUG
This 497-nucleotide ribosomal RNA is filed under the name uncultured bacterium. RNAcentral describes it as "partial 16S ribosomal RNA". It matches the Rfam family "Bacterial small subunit ribosomal RNA", at positions 28 to 507 of the family's 1533-position model. The record is from RNAcentral.